CAAGGGGCAAACGGGGCAGCUGCCCCGGGCCCAGUUGCUCCCGGGGGGCCCAAAGCAGCUGUCCCGUGGGCCCCCUGCCCGCAGCCAGGACUGAACAGCCCACCGGGAUACUGAGAAAUAUCCCAGUGGGCUGCGGCAAGUGAAGUAAUCAGGGCCCCCCGGCCCUUUAAUUGAGCACCCGAUCGGGCCCCUGUCUGUAUGCCUGCUGGGAGGAAGUGAGGUGAGAUCACUUCCUCCCAAGUAACAGAGUGCCGCUGGGGAGGAGGAGACACACAUGGAAGUGGAGGAGAGGGAGGAUGCACACACAGGAGGAGGAGGUGAAGGAGAGGGACUGAGGUAAACAUGUUCAUCAGACUCCCAUCAACCUCAGCCAUCCAGCUUCCACUGGACCCCAGGGAAGCCACCCUUCUCUAAAGGUAAGGAGACAAGAGGGUGGCUAGACUUAAAUUGAUAUAAAUGUGUGUAUAUCUGACUGUAUGUGUAUAUCUGACUAUGUAUGUGUAUAUCUGACUAUGUAUGUGUAUAUCUGACUGUAUGUGUGUAUCUGACUGUAUGUGUAUAUCUGACUGUGUGUGUGUAUAUCUGACUGUGUGUGUGUAUAUCUGACUGUGUGUGCGUAUCUGACUGUGUGUGUGUAUCUGACUAUGUAUUUGUGUAUCUGACUAUGUAUUUGUGUAUCUGACUAUGUGUGUAUCUGACUAUGUGUGUGUGUGUAUCUGACUAUGUGUGUAUAUCUGACUGUAUGUGUGUAUCUGACUAUGUGUGUAUCUGACUGUAUAUGUGUAUCUGACUGUGUGUGUGUAUCUGACUAUGUAUGUGUGUGUAUCUGACUAUGUAUGUGUGUGUGUAUCUGACUGUAUGUGUGUAUCUGACUAUGCGUGUGUGUCUGACUAUGCGUGUGUAUCUGACUAUGCGUGUGUAUCUGUAUGUGUGUGCGUUUGUAUCUGGCUGUGUGUGUGUAUCUGGCUGUGUUUGUGUCAGUGUAUGUGUACCUUUGUGUCAGUGUUUAUGUGUAUCUAUGUGGAUGUAUACCUGUGUCCGUGUACUUGUGUGUCAGUUUGUAUGUGUACCUGCGUGUCUGUGUAUGUAUGUGAGUGUCAGGUUGUGUAAGUGUGUAUCUAUGCGUGUGGCAAUGCAUACGUUCCAUCAUUCCAGUACCAACACUGCACACAUAUACACUACUACAUUCCAACGCUAACACUGCACACAAAUACACCACUGCAUGUGUAUCUGUGUGUAUCUCAGUGUUUGUGUAAGUGUGCAUCUGUGUGGCAAUGCAUACAUCCAAGCAUUCAUUUGCCAACACUGCACACAAAUACACCCCUGCAUGUGUACCCGUGUGUCUGUGUGCAUCUUAAUGUGUGUCUAUAUCUGUGUCAGUGUGUGUAAGUGUGUAUCUCUGUGUGUGGAUGUGCCAGUGUUUUUAUCUUUGUAUCUGUGUGUGUGUGUGUGUAUGUAUGUAUGUGUCUGUGUGUGUAUACGCCAGUCUGUUUGUAUCAGUCUGUGCAUGUGUCCAGAUGUGUGCAUGUAUCAGUGUGCUAAUGUGUAUGGAUAUCUGUGAAUGUAUGUCAUACAUCCAAGCAAUCAAACACAACAUGCAAACACACCCCUGCAAACACAAACAUUACAUACAAACACGCCCCUGAAUUCAAACUCAAAAAGUAUAUAGAAACACACCCCUUCACUCUAACACCAAUACUACACCGUACAUGCACACACAUACUCUAUACAACAACAUGCUCACAUUCAAAUUUACAAACACUGCUCACAAAUACAGCCCUGCAAGAAUGACCAAAUGGUAGAUCCCCAACUGGCAUAGCAUCGUGGGAAUUGUACAACAGAUGAGGAUCUAUCUUUUCUCCAUUAUUGUGCUAGAUGGGAGGCCCCAAAAAAUGUCUUGCACCUGGGCCUUCUCUACAUUAGUUAUGCCACUGUAUUGGGGUGGAGGGCAUGACUGCAUGCCAGGGGGUGGAAAUGUGUGGAGGGGAAGGGCAGGAUCCAGGGGGCCCAAGCAAAUGCUUGCCCAGGGUCCAAUCAAUGUUAAAGACAGCCCUGGUUGAGUAGAAAAUGUAGUACAAUGGAUAUUGCCAUUUAUCAUAAAUUGUUCACAUAAGUCAAAAUAGAGUGUGAGAGGACACAGAGACCAGAC
Non-coding RNA from Pelobates cultripes (western spadefoot toad), 2149 nucleotides. NCBI's taxonomy places the organism in Eukaryota, Metazoa, Chordata, Amphibia, Anura, Pelobatidae. The record is from the annotation of a GenBank genome assembly.